UUUGAAUUAUUGUCAAAUAAGACUGCAAUUUCAUGGAUCUCAAUUAUUAAGAAUAUGUAAACAAUGAUCUGUCUCUUGAUGCUUUGCGCUCUUCUUCACGAUGAAAUUAUCACAUUUAUUAACAUCUUGCAUGCUUGUGUGCAUGUUGGGGCAUUAGAAUAGGAUCACAUUGCAAGAGAACUUGAUUUUAAUGUGGGGUAUAUAUGG
This 207-nucleotide unclassified non-coding RNA is filed under the name Hevea brasiliensis (rubber tree). The record is from RNAcentral. Lineage: Eukaryota; Viridiplantae; Streptophyta; Magnoliopsida; Malpighiales; Euphorbiaceae.